GGAGCUGCCGUGCCCGCACAUCGUGUCUUGCUGAGCGCCCUCACGCUUCAAGGAGAGGCGGGUGCGGAUUGCCCUCGCCCCCUACGCGCCCGCUACAAGAACGGGGGGACGCCUGUCUAUGGGCAUUCUCGUUUACUCCUGAAGAGGUGAGCCAGACCAUGACGGAUCGUUGCUACCGCACGCUCGGUCUCGAUCGCGGCGCCGCGGAGGCGGACAUUAGGCGGGCGUACCGCAGGAAGGCGCUGCUUCUUCACCCAGACCGAAACCCAAACGGCGCGCAGGCCUUCAAAGUGCUCCAGGGCGACUACGAGGAGGCCCUCACAGACGCGAGGCGCCGACGCGCCCGCGGGGGCGGGGAGCCACCGUUUCCCUCGCUGGAGUCGCCGUCAUGGAACCCGGCCGCACCGGCAGCAGGUGCCGCGUAUCGAUUUGCGCGAGCGGCCAGUACCGCAUGUCCGCCCUUCUUCCCCGAACCCUCCCCUGCUCCCCUUUUCACAGAGGAGGAGCUGUUUAGUGAUUCGAUCCCUGGUGGUUGGCGCGACGUCUGUGCGCGACGCGGUGCGCCGGCCCGAGGAGGUGCCAAGGCAAGCGGCAGAAACAACGCCGAGGGUCACACGGAGGAAAUAAACGGUAGUAACAGCUGCGGGAGUCAAGAGGCUGCUGCGGCUGAUGCGCGGUGGCGACGCGCACAUGGGGCCCGUGUGCCCGUUAGUGCAUACGAGUUUAGCGGUCCAGUGCCACAGCCUCCGCCGCCCCCAUCACGGCCGAGCCCGCACGCGUCCUCUUCCUUCCAGUCGUCUUGCACACAGACGCGCGCGUCUGUCGUUGUGACAGGAUCCCGCUUGUCGACGCAGGCGCAGCGGACCCGUUUCCUCUCACGCGAGCGUGCGUGGAAGUCGUCGUCCGCUGAGGACCUGUCGUUAGACGCCAAACAGGAAGCCGGAGGCGCCGACAACGUGGGUAGAUCACGGGGUUGCGAUGGGUACACGGGCCAGAACUGCGAGGCGCUGUGCGGCAGCGACACACGCGAGUCCGCCGAGGAUCGCGCGUAUCGCGAGGCCGUGUUUCUGCACCGCCGCAUGCCGUAACUUUCGGGGAAAUCGAGAGACACGGCUGCUGAACGCACGCUAACGUACUUGCAGCCGGACCGCGCAUUUUUGACUGAGGGGGCGCUUGUAGGCAGCAAUGCCACGUCCCCUGCAAAACGAGGCGUCUACCACCAGCGCAGCGACUUUCACACCAGAAGCAACAUCACCACCGCCACCACCAGCAGCACUAAGGGCGAACGCCUCGAGGCAGCGCUAAACCAAAGGGAGGCGUUAUGUCGGCAGUGCCGAGACACAGAGACAACACUGCAGCACGAAGUCGGUGAUGAACACGCACCAGCCUCUCGCGAUGAGGGGGAUGCGUCAGCUCACCCUGACAAGGGCGAAGGCGGUAGUGGCACUAAUGCGGCGUUGGGGCCGUCAGCGGCAGUUCCGUUGGCGGCGUCUGGGUGCGAUAUAUCACGUUCGGACGACCCCUUCCCGGUGAGGCAGAGCGCUUUUCCGGAGCCGAGCAGCGAUAAUCGGCUCCGGGGCGACUUACCCCAUCGGGAUAGGAUUCUAGAUGAGCGUCGCCCCCUGCAGAGCGAGAAUCUUCCCUGCCGCUACACCCCAAACCCGGCCGAGGUGGCUGAGGUGAGCGACAUGGAGGUUCACUUUCUAGCGUCUGUCGCGGAAGACAUCAAUCAGAAGAUGCAGACAGUCAUGGCUGCACGUCUGAGCAAGGCGCCGUGCAGUUGUUGCGCUUCCACUCCACGAGCGCACCAGCAUGUAUACUUCACCUGCACUCACCCCAGCGUCUGUGAGGACUGCUACGCGUCAGGGGUAUCGGAAUGCCCUCUCUGCGGAGCUGCGCGUGUGGAUCGAUCGAGUCCGCCGCCGCCGACCGCCACCGCCUCAUCUUCGAUAGAGGAGGGUGUAACCGCCGGGCGCUUGUAGUGCGUGCACAGCAACACGUGCUUCAUUGGCGUCUUCGUCCGCGCCAUCGCCAGAGACGACAUAUAAGCCGGCAAGAGUGCACUCUAUGCUAUCUUGUGGGGACGUCGAUGCGUGAUCGGCGGCUGAUUCGUAGAACUCCGUACCCGCGCGUAGCGCUACUACGACCGCUGCUACUGUCACUGGCAGAGGUGCUUGGGCCGCUUCCUCACCCUCCUCUCGUUCUGCCACGACUUGAUCGCCUGCAGGUCGGAACGGGCUCCUCGGCGCGCCGAGAGUGAGGCGACAUCUGCAUCCUCUGCACCUCCCCUUGGUGUGAGACGGCAUAGGCACACGUGUACGAGGUGGGGUGGGUGGGAGCAACAGAUGGAGAUGUGUGUGCUUGUGCGAUGGAAGUCAAGCAACGAUGACGGCUGCCAAUGGAACAGGAGAGCGAUAUGGCUGUCAGCGCUCCUGACCAGCGUGCUGUUCACAGUAGUGUCACAUACAGACCCUACAGCCGCACCCCCGUGCUCCACAGUCAGAAAUCAUUAAACACCUCCUAGAGACGAGACCAAGUGGCGGAUCGAUUGACACGGUCGAUGCACACGCGCACGCGGCCUCCCUCCCCUACCUUUCUUUUUUUUUGUCAUCUGUAUGUCUGUUAUCCCAUGUUUAUACGUGCCACCGUUUCCUUUUCGUCGGCGGCGUGACGUCAUCGUCAUCGUGGCGAGUUUGCGCCUUGCAUGCGCGCGCUCUCUUUCACUGGCUUGGAGGCUCUCCUUGUGGUGCUGUCGUUCGGUGGGGCGCCAUCGAUCUAUCUGCGUUGCAGACCCGUGUGCGGUAGCGUGCUCAUGGAGAGAUCGAACAGCUGUGCACAAGUCGGCGAAGAGGCCGUGCGCGCAUACGUAUGACCAGACGUCGACAAAUUGAGCGCAGGCGCCGAGUGACCAGAAUGCUUUCGCGCGACGUGGCUCAGCGUGCCGUGCGGAACGAACG
This 2957-nucleotide unclassified non-coding RNA is filed under the name Leishmania donovani. Its description in RNAcentral is "gene:LdHU3.12.1410(CDS-product:DnaJ_domain_contai ning_protein_putative)". The record is from RNAcentral. Lineage: Eukaryota; Euglenozoa; Kinetoplastea; Trypanosomatida; Trypanosomatidae.